Molecule: small RNA, 131 nt
Filed under: Chromatiaceae bacterium
Lineage: Bacteria; Pseudomonadati; Pseudomonadota; Gammaproteobacteria; Chromatiales; Chromatiaceae
Description: RtT sRNA
Rfam family: RtT RNA
About the family: This family represents a bacterial cis-regulatory element known as RtT RNA. The exact function of RtT is unknown although it is thought that it may be involved in changing the cellular response in relation to amino acid starvation.
Source: RNAcentral
GCCGAGAGUGCGGGCGACAGGAUGAGAACCGUCAAGGUUCGACGGAGGUGCGGAGCACCGAAGAACGUCGCGCUUGUCGCGGCGGCCCGAAGGGCGAGGGCGAAGCCCGAGUAAUCCUGGCGCCCCAGCCA